This 547-nucleotide ribosomal RNA is filed under the name uncultured Alphaproteobacteria bacterium. Its description in RNAcentral is "partial 16S ribosomal RNA". Lineage: Bacteria; Pseudomonadati; Pseudomonadota; Alphaproteobacteria. The record is from RNAcentral.
GGGAGCUCUCCCAUAUGGUCGACCUGCAGGCGGCCGCGAAUUCACUAGUGAUUCGUAUUACCGCGGCUGCUGGCACGGAGUUAGCCGGAGCUUAUUCUCCCGGUACUGUCAUUAUCAUCCCGGGUAAAAGAGCUUUACGACCCUAAGGCCUUCAUCACUCACGCGGCAUUGCUGGAUCAGGCUUGCGCCCAUUGUCCAAUAUUCCCCACUGCUGCCUCCCGUAGGAGUCUGGGCCGUGUCUCAGUCCCAGUGUGGCUGAUCAUCCUCUCAGACCAGCUAAGGAUCGUCGGCUUGGUAGGCCUUUACCCCACCAACUACCUAAUCCUACGCGGGCUCAUCCCUGGCCGAUAAAUCUUUGGUCCGAAGACAUCAUCCGGUAUUAGCAGUCAUUUCUAACUGUUAUUCCGAAGCCAAGGGCAGAUUCCCACGCGUUACGCACCCGUGCGCCACUAACCCCGAAGGGUUCGUUCGACUUGCAUGUGUUAGGCAUGCCGCCAGCGUUCGUUCUGAGCCAUGAUCAAACUCUAAUCGAAUUCCCGCGGCCGCC